AGACAAAAUAUUAGACACUAGACACAGACAAUUAAAAUUCAUGCUCCUCACAUUAGUUCUAAAUAAUAGUGUGUCCUCAGAAUAAAAUACCCAUGUAACGGUGAUUGAGAUGACUCUGGUUCCGUAGAAGUAACUGACCUAAGAUCAGAACUUUUAAAAUGAAACACCUUUUACCAAUAUCAUUCAAAGAUACACCUUGACGCCCACUUCCUCUCCUUCUCUAGUAUCCCCAAUGAUAAAGUAUCAAGAUCUUGUCAUUGUCCUUUCUCCGUGCAGGUCUGGAAUACCAAAAUUCAACACACUAAGUCAAAUGCCAACAUCUUGCAAGUCCCACAUACAGGUGCAUUCUCAUACUACUUGUUGAGCCAAUUCAGAUCUUCCCAAACUACACUACAAAGAUUCCAUUACAUGUGCAGUGAAGAGCUAGUCCAAGCCCUAACUGAAUCCUUUAUGAGUGAACAUUAACGUCUUCUUCUGUCAUUAUAAAUUUCUGUUCACACUUGAAUCCCAACAGAAAGCUGCCGGAAGCGACUGGCUGGGGUUCCCAUUUCAGUUUUCCUGUUGUGUACAGGUGUAAGACCAUCGUAUUACAGUGUUAAGAAAUUUUAAUUUUUCCGGCAACAUGCAGCCGACCCGUUCCAAAGAAUUCCCUGAACUCCGCGGCUGACAACUAACUCCCUUAACUCACUUCCAACCCCUACAGGGAGUCUGGAAAGAUUAGUCACCUCCUCUAGCCAGGCGGUCCCGCUCCAACACCUCACUCUUACACCCUACACAGAGCAGAUGAGCGUCUCGGCCACCUCCACAAACCAAAUGCCAAUCUGAGGUGUGUGUCACCCCUGAAUUUCCCAUAUUCUGAAAGAGACCCUCCUCUUAGUGGAGCUUUCUGCCGUGGGGCUGAGGAGUAGCAGCUCCCAGCGUCCCGUGGAAGGAAACUCCCAGAGAAGAGCAAGCGCUCGCGCUCCCACCCGGAGCAGGCUGUGCUGAUUACAACGGCGGGAAAUGCCUGUCCAGAGCUGGUUUCGCCAAGGCCUUUCAAGUAGAGACUCUAGGACCAGUCCGUGACAAGCACGCCGGCCGGCACUGCUCCGGGUCCCAGACCAGCUCGUGCGGGCCAGAGCCGGGGACACGGCUAGGGAGGGAUGGGGGCCCGGCUCGGCCCACUCUCCCACCCUACGCUGAGCCCCCCGUGAGUCAGCAGCCGGCGAGGGGACCCGGGGAUUGCCUCAAGCCCUCCCACAAGAGUGAGACCUGGGAGGCUCUGGGGAGCUCCGAGCGGCCUGCGCCCCCGGCCCGGCCCCCCUCACACACACAGUGAGUCAGCAGCAUCAGAGCCGGCUAGCCCGGCCCCUCUCCGCUGCCGCCGACCGACAUAAGCGGAGCUGGGCCGGCGGGGCCGGGGAGGCGGCGCGGCGACCUUUACCGAUGGAGUGGAGGAUGUCGAUGGAGGCCUCCCGGUCGGUGCUGAGUAGAGACUGGGCUCUCUGGAACUCCACCACCGCCGCCGCCGCCAUCUUACCGCUCUCACACCGUCCCCGGCCGCGGCCGCCGACGCCGGAAACACACACCCGGAAAGCCCGCCCUCGGGUCCCUCCGCCUGUAGCUCCCGCGGCUCCGUUGCCAGAGCACUCCGGGAGUUGUAGUCUCUCCGCCGGGCGCUGUAGUCUCUCCGCCGGGCGCGGGCUGAGGGGUGGGGAGAGCGGGACCGCCUCGCAGGUGGGCUGCAAGCUCCCCAGCGCCUCCUAGCGGGCAGCCGGCGAGGAAAGAGGCGGUGCCCCGCAGUGGGAGCUCUAGAUCGGUCCCCGCCCACCCCAAAAGAGGCUUCUUGAUUCCGGCCCCGCUCGCGCACCCCUGAGAGGGGUUCCUGAGUACCGGGCUAGGUAUUGAGUCAAAGCUGCGUGGCUUUCUUUGCGGCUUCCACGAUUUAACCAUUCAUUCGGGACGAUAAGUGACCUUAUAAAGUGCUCGCUAUGUGGCAAAGAAGAGCACCAUUCAAAUGCGUUCCAGUGUCUGACGCCUGUGCGCCGCACACACGCUUUCCAGGCUUGACUCCCGCAGAACGCUGGCCAGCAGGUGGGCAAACCCGCCAGGACCGGAGAAAACUGUCCUCACGCGCCCAUUUAACCUUGGGACAGUGCUGGACGUGAUGAAGUGAAACAUCACCUUUGCUCCAUUCACGCCACAAAUACCUCUUGGGAAUCCACAGAAGCCUCACCCAGCUCCCCAGCUCAAAGAAGAAAAAAAAAAAAAAAAGGAAGGAAGGGAGGGAGGGAGGGACGGAGGAAGGAAAAAAUUGAAUUAUUCUUCCCAAUAUCUUCAGCCCCUUCAACUAAAGUCACAGAUAUCAGUGAAGACGUCGUGUGGACGGAAAAAUGACAUUCUAUGAGACCACUUAGGGUUAAACUUAAGAAAGGUGCUAAAAGGAUACAAAGACAAUUCAGUAUUAAGGAAGACCUUUCUCUAGGUGAUGACGAUCCAAAAAUGGAAUGUGCUGUCCCAUAAAAGGCCGCAAAAAGGGGACUAACAUUGCACACCCUCCUCUGAGACGGUGUUCGUUCUUGUUGCCUGGGCUGGAGUGCAAUGGCGUGAUCUCGGCUCACCUCAACCUCCGCCUCCCAGGUUCAAGCAAUUCUCCUGCUUCAGCCUCCCGAGUGCCUGGGAUCACAGGCGCCCACCACCACACCCGACUGAUUUUGUAUUUUUAAUAGAGACGGGGUUACUCCAUGUUGGUCAGGCUGGUCUUAAACUCCCAACCUCAGGUGAUCCACCCACCUCGGCCUCCCAAAGUGCUGGGAUUACAGGCAUCAGCCACUGCCCACAGCCCAACAGACAGGGUCCUGGUCUGUCACACAAGCUGGAAUGCAGUGUGUGGUGGUGCGUUCUUGGCUCACUGCAACUUCCAACUCCCAGGCUCAAGCGAUCCUCCCACCUCAGCCUCCCAAGUAGCUGUGACUGCAGGUAUGCACCAUCACACUCAGCUAAUUUUUUUGAUUUAUUUUUUGUUAUAGAGGCUGUUUCUCCCAGUGUUGCCCAAGCUGGCCUCAAAGUCCUGAGCUCAAGCAAUCCUCUCACCUCAGCCUCCCAAAGUGGAAGCACGAGCCACCACACCCAGCUGAUCUUCACUUCUUUUUCUUUUUUUUUUUCCUGGGUUCACGCCAUUAUCCUGCCUCAG
This 3172-nucleotide non-coding RNA is filed under the name Pan troglodytes (chimpanzee). Lineage: Eukaryota; Metazoa; Chordata; Mammalia; Primates; Hominidae. The record is from RNAcentral.